Long non-coding RNA from Perca flavescens (yellow perch), 431 nucleotides. RefSeq lists it as uncharacterized. The record is from RefSeq and is a predicted model, not a curated record. The transcript has 3 exons. Lineage: Eukaryota; Metazoa; Chordata; Actinopteri; Perciformes; Percidae.
UGCAUGCAGAGUUCCAGCGGAUUACAAAUCAGAACCUGCCCAACACGUGCUAUGCUGAGCUUGACCGCCAUCUUCCUCUAAUGAUGACCUUAUUCAGACAGAAGGCACCAAUAACUGGGAAGACAGCAGAUGCUCUGGCUGAAAUUUAAAAAAUCCACGAUGAACAGGAAAUCCAUGACAUCCACACCAAGCGCACUACUGUUCUCCACACCCUUCCUGUGUAUCUGCGCGAGGACGUCUCUGGAUUUUUAAGAACCUGCACGGAUGAGUCCGAUGAGCCAGAGCUUGAUGGUGUUUGCAGUGGGCUUCAUUACUUUCAUCAGUGACUAUGACGCAAGUCCAGUUCACUACCACCCUGUGAGAAUCACUGUCGUCAUUGAAAGGGAUGCCGUGGUCAGCCUCCCCAGACUUGGCAAUGCCUUCCUGGUAAU